CCCCAACUAAUGGGGAUCCAUAAUAAACCCCAGGAAGAGUAGCUGCUGCCUUGGCAGGAACUAAUGGGGAUCCAUAAUAAACCCCAGGAAGAGUAGCUGCUGCCUUGGCAGGAACUAAUGGGGAUCCAUAAUAAACCCCAGGAAGAGUAGCCGCUGCCUUGGCAGGAACUAAUGGGGAUCCAUAAUAAACCCCAGGAAGAGUAGCUGCUGCCUGCUCAGGUUACUAAAGUGGAUCCACAAUAAACCCCAGGAAGAGUAGCUGCUGCCUUGGCAGGAACUAAUGGGGAUCCAUAAUAAAUACUAAUUGAUGUGAUGUACAUAAUAACAUGGAUGCAAAUAGACCAUAGAUAUGCAUGUUGGGAAAAUAUUUAAAACAUUUCACUCACAAUGAUGGAGUGAGCUGUAAUUCUAAAUACAUCCACAAUUAAUAUUUUCUCUAAGCGUCUGAUUGCUUGACAGCUGGCGAUCAGCUCUGCGUGAGCCCAACGUGUGUGUGUGUGUGUGUGGGUGUGUAUCACUGCUGCAUGCUGGGUAGACCUCGUUUCCAACGCCAUAUAAACAAAAGGUUAAUGAGGCUUCGCUGCUUUUUGUUUAUCCUUUCAGCAGAUGCCAACAGAUUACACACACACACACACACACACACACACACACACACACACACACGAAGGCUCAUAAACAAAUGUACACACACACACGUGCGCGCACACACACACAGACGAGCGCGCGCACACACACACACACGAACGCACACACACAUACACACAAAGGCUCAUAAACAAACGCACACACACACACACACACACACACACAGGAAGGCUCAUAAACAAAAGCACACACACACACGAGCGCACACACACACACACACACACACACACACACACACGCACACACAUAUACACGAAGGCUCAUAAACAAACGCACACACACACACGAACGCAGGCACACACACGGCGUGCUCACACAGAGUGGAUCUGCAUGAAACUCGGGCCCCUAAUCAUUGGAAGCCCGUGUGUUGUGUUUUAGCCAAGCAGCUCGUAUCCAGUGUGACCAUUCUUCUAUGUAAUUACGUCCGUUCAUGGAUGGAUAUUGGCUACUUCCUGACGGAAAUAAAUACCUUUUAAGUCUCAAUCCUGUUCUCUUGUUUUUUGCAUAUAAUCGUGGUUUGAUUUAUUAAUUUGAUAGAUAUGCAUCAAUUUAGACAUUUGAUUAUUAAUGAUAAAGUAAUCAAAUCAAAUGGAGAUGUCUGUACCGUGGACGUUUUCAUGUAUCAGUUUUAUCUGUAUCAGUUUAUCUGUAUCAGUUUAUCUUUUAAUUUGUAUCUGUAUCAGUUUAUCUGUAUCAGUUUAAUCUGUAUCUUUAUCAGCUUUGUGGAUGUUUUCACGGAUGUCCAUGCGUUCCUGAUCGUCCUGUAGUUGAGGCCGUCCAUAUUGGCAGAUACACAUAUCAUUACAUAUUACAACUAUUGAAUGGACAUUGGGAUCCCAGUAACAUACCUGCAAAUCAUUCAUCUUUGUAAAGGGAAUUUAAGAUGAUCUCUGUGCAGGUUUGUAUAUCAUAUGAUCAUCAUGGGAGACUGUGUAGUAAUUUUACUGUUUCCUUUGGAUAAGAUGUUACAACUCAACAAAGCCACAAUGUCAGGUCAUUUCUGUGCCAGUCACAAACUGUUUAGAGAUGAUUAAAUACUGCCCUCUGGUGGGGGAGAUUAUGAAACAACACCCAUCGUGCAUCACUGUAUUGAGAGGGUUAUAAUAGUGAAAUAAUCAUGUCUUGACAUGAACUCAUUCCUAUUGGCUAGUACUGUGUUCUAGAAGUGUUCUAGAAGUGUUCUGUUAUGAAGGAUUGGCCAUUGACCUGACAAGUGCUGUUUUACAUUUUUUUUUUGUAUCUAUGACAACAUUGCGGCUCAGGGACACACCGCCCGCUGAGCACAGACGUCAGUCCAACGUCUAUUCCACGUUCGUACAAUGUAAUGUCAUUGAAUAAGGUGUAAACAACGUUGAUUCAACCAGUGUGUGCCCAGAGGGUAGUUAAAUGUUCUUCAUUUACGCCUUAACCGAGUGUUGGAGUCCUUUAUUAAAACUAAAACAUUUUAAAAAACAUAUUUUUUUU
Molecule: long non-coding RNA, 2109 nt
Organism: Oncorhynchus tshawytscha (Chinook salmon)
Lineage: Eukaryota; Metazoa; Chordata; Actinopteri; Salmoniformes; Salmonidae
Source: Ensembl